AUUGAACGCUGGCGGCAUGCUUUACACAUGCAAGUCGAACGGCAGCACGGGUGCUUGCACCUGGUGGCGAGUGGCGGACGGGUGAGUAAUGCAUCGGAACGUGUCCUGAAGUGGGGGAUAACGCAUCGAAAGAUGUGCUAAUACCGCAUAUUCUCUGAGGAGGAAAGUAGGGGAUCGAAAGACCUUAUGCUUUUGGAGCGGCCGAUGUCUGAUUAGCUAGUUGGUAGGGUAAUGGCUUACCAAGGCGACGAUCAGUAGUUGGUCUGAGAGGACGACCAGCCACACUGGGACUGAGACACGGCCCAGACUCCUACGGGAGGCAGCAGUGGGGAAUUUUGGACAAUGGGCGCAAGCCUGAUCCAGCAAUGCCGCGUGAGUGAAGAAGGCCUUCGGGUUGUAAGACUCUUUCAGUUGAGAAGAAAAAGUACGUAGACUAAUAAUACAUGAUUCACGACGGUAU
Molecule: ribosomal RNA, 460 nt
Filed under: uncultured bacterium
Lineage: Bacteria
Description: bacterial SSU rRNA
Rfam family: Bacterial small subunit ribosomal RNA
Source: RNAcentral